RNAcentral lists this ribosomal RNA (708 nucleotides) under uncultured marine alveolate. RNAcentral's name for it is "SSU rRNA". It matches the Rfam family "Eukaryotic small subunit ribosomal RNA", at positions 617 to 1331 of the family's 1831-position model. The record is from RNAcentral.
GGUAAAAAAGCUCGUAGUUGGAUUUCUGUCAAGGGCGACCGGUCCGUACCAAGUGCGCGCACCUGGUUCGACCUCGGCAUCCUCUCGGAAGACGUUUCUGCGCUUGAUUGCGUGGAGCGGAGUUCGGGGCUUUUACUUUGAGGAAAUUAGAGUGUUCACGGCAGGCUAACGCCAGAAUACAUUAGCAUGGAAUAAUACUAUAGGAUCUUGAUUCUAUUUUGUUGGUUUCUAGGAUUAAGAUAAUGAUUAAUAGGGACAAUUGGGGGCAUUCGUAUCGACACGUCAGAGGUGGAAUUCUUGGAUUGUGUUGCGACGAACUACUGCGAAAGCAUUUGCCAAGGAUGUUUUCAUUGAUCAAGAACGAAAGUAAGGGGAUCGAAGACGAUUAGAUACCGUCGUAGUCUUUACCAUAAACUAUGCCAACUAGAGAUGGGACAUCGUUCACUUACGACUUGUUCCGCACCUUAUGAGAUAUCAAAGUCUUUGGGUUCCGGGGGGAGUAUGGUCGCAAGUCUGAAACUUAAAGGAAUUGACGGAAGGGCACCACCAGGAGUGGAGCCUGCGGCUUAAUUUGACUCAACACGGGGAAACUCACCAGGUCCAGACAUAAUAAGGAUUGACAGAUUGAUAGCUCUUUCUUGAUUUUAUGGGUGGUGGUGCAUGGCCGUUCUUAGUUCGUGGAGUGAUUUGUCUGCUUAAUUGCGUUAA